Molecule: ribosomal RNA, 409 nt
Filed under: uncultured bacterium
Lineage: Bacteria
Description: bacterial SSU rRNA
Rfam family: Bacterial small subunit ribosomal RNA
Source: RNAcentral
UAACGCGAAGAACCUUACCUACUCUUGACAUCCAGAGAACUUAGCAGAGAUGGAUUGGUUCCUUCGGGAACUAUGAGACAGGUGGUGCAUGGCUGUCGUCAGCUCGUGUUGUGAAAUGUUGGGUUAAGUCCCGCAACGAGCGCAACCCUUAUCCUUUGUUGCCAGCGGUCCGGCCGGGAACUCAAAGGAGACUGCCAGUGAUAAACUGGAGGAAGGUGGGGAUGACGUCAAGUCAUCAUGGCCCUUACGAGUAGGGCUACACACGUGCUACAAUGGCGCAUACAAAGAGAAGCGAACUCGCGAGAGCAAGCGGACCUCAUAAAGUGCGUCGUAGUCCGGAUUGGAGUCUGCAACUCGACUCCAUGAAGUCGGAAUCGCUAGUAAUCGUAGAUCAGCAACCCAAAAGGAC